This 301-nucleotide ribosomal RNA is filed under the name uncultured bacterium. RNAcentral describes it as "partial 16S ribosomal RNA". It matches the Rfam family "Bacterial small subunit ribosomal RNA", at positions 509 to 807 of the family's 1533-position model. The record is from RNAcentral.
CAGUAGCCGCGGGAACACGAAGGGGGCUAGCGUUGUUCGGAAUUACUGGGCGUAAAGCGCACGUAGGCGGAUCGAUCAGUCAGGGGUGAAAUCCCAGGGCUCAACCCUGGAACUGCCUUUGAUACUGUCGAUCUGGAGUAUGGAAGAGGUGAGUGGAAUUCCGAGUGUAGAGGUGAAAUUCGUAGAUAUUCGGAGGAACACCAGUGGCGAAGGCGGCUCACUGGUCCAUUACUGACGCUGAGGUGCGAAAGCGUGGGGAGCAAACAGGAUUAGAGACCCCGGUAGUCCCUGUCUCUUAUAC